RNAcentral lists this ribosomal RNA (392 nucleotides) under uncultured bacterium. Its description in RNAcentral is "bacterial SSU rRNA". It matches the Rfam family "Bacterial small subunit ribosomal RNA", at positions 32 to 408 of the family's 1533-position model. The record is from RNAcentral.
AAUCAACGCUGGCGGCGUGCCUAACACAUGCAAGUCGAACGCGAAAGCCCCUUCGGGGGUAAGUAGAGUGGCGUCCGGGUGAGUAACACGUGGGUAAUCUACCUUCGGGUGGGGAAUAACUCAGGGAAACUUGAGCUAAUACCGCAUAAUGCAGCGGCACCUAAUGGUGAUUAGUUGUUAAAGCGGGGAUCGCAAGACCUCGCGCCUGAAGAGGAGCCUGCGGCAGAUUAGCUAGNGGUGAGGUAAUGGCUCACCAAGGCUUCGAUCUGUAGCUGGUCUGAGAGGACGGCCAGCCACACUGGCACUGACACACGGGCCAGACUCCUACGGAGGCAGCAGUGGGAAUAUUGGACAAUGGGCGAAAGCCUGAUCCAGCCAUGCCGCGUGAGUGA